Molecule: ribosomal RNA, 1576 nt
Filed under: Lactiplantibacillus plantarum
Lineage: Bacteria; Bacillati; Bacillota; Bacilli; Lactobacillales; Lactobacillaceae
Description: Lactobacillus plantarum 16S ribosomal RNA
Rfam family: Bacterial small subunit ribosomal RNA
Source: RNAcentral
UUAAUUUGAGAGUUUGAUCCUGGCUCAGGACGAACGCUGGCGGCGUGCCUAAUACAUGCAAGUCGAACGAGCUCUGGUAUUGAUUGGUGCUUGCAUCAUGAUUUACAUUUGAGUGAGUGGCGAACUGGUGAGUAACACGUGGGAAACCUGCCCAGAAGCGGGGGAUAACACCUGGAAACAGAUGCUAAUACCGCAUAACAACUUGGACCGCAUGGUCCGAGUUUGAAAGAUGGCUUCGGCUAUCACUUUUGGAUGGUCCCGCGGCGUAUUAGCUAGAUGGUGGGGUAACGGCUCACCAUGGCAAUGAUACGUAGCCGACCUGAGAGGGUAAUCGGCCACAUUGGGACUGAGACACGGCCCAAACUCCUACGGGAGGCAGCAGUAGGGAAUCUUCCACAAUGGACGAAAGUCUGAUGGAGCAACGCCGCGUGAGUGAAGAAGGGUUUCGGCUCGUAAAACUCUGUUGUUGAAGAAGAACAUAUCUGAGAGUAACUGUUCAGGUAUUGACGGUAUUUAACCAGAAAGCCACGGCUAACUACGUGCCAGCAGCCGCGGUAAUACGUAGGUGGCAAGCGUUGUCCGGAUUUAUUGGGCGUAAAGCGAGCGCAGGCGGUUUUUUAAGUCUGAUGUGAAAGCCUUCGGCUCAACCGAAGAAGUGCAUCGGAAACUGGGAAACUUGAGUGCAGAAGAGGACAGUGGAACUCCAUGUGUAGCGGUGAAAUGCGUAGAUAUAUGGAAGAACACCAGUGGCGAAGGCGGCUGUCUGGUCUGUAACUGACGCUGAGGCUCGAAAGUAUGGGUAGCAAACAGGAUUAGAUACCCUGGUAGUCCAUACCGUAAACGAUGAAUGCUAAGUGUUGGAGGGUUUCCGCCCUUCAGUGCUGCAGCUAACGCAUUAAGCAUUCCGCCUGGGGAGUACGGCCGCAAGGCUGAAACUCAAAGGAAUUGACGGGGGCCCGCACAAGCGGUGGAGCAUGUGGUUUAAUUCGAAGCUACGCGAAGAACCUUACCAGGUCUUGACAUACUAUGCAAAUCUAAGAGAUUAGACGUUCCCUUCGGGGACAUGGAUACAGGUGGUGCAUGGUUGUCGUCAGCUCGUGUCGUGAGAUGUUGGGUUAAGUCCCGCAACGAGCGCAACCCUUAUUAUCAGUUGCCAGCAUUAAGUUGGGCACUCUGGUGAGACUGCCGGUGACAAACCGGAGGAAGGUGGGGAUGACGUCAAAUCAUCAUGCCCCUUAUGACCUGGGCUACACACGUGCUACAAUGGAUGGUACAACGAGUUGCGAACUCGCGAGAGUAAGCUAAUCUCUUAAAGCCAUUCUCAGUUCGGAUUGUAGGCUGCAACUCGCCUACAUGAAGUCGGAAUCGCUAGUAAUCGCGGAUCAGCAUGCCGCGGUGAAUACGUUCCCGGGCCUUGUACACACCGCCCGUCACACCAUGAGAGUUUGUAACACCCAAAGUCGGUGGGGUAACCUUUUAGGAACCAGCCGCCUAAGGUGGGACAGAUGAUUAGGGUGAAGUCGUAACAAGGUAGCCGUAGGAGAACCUGCGGCUGGAUCACCUCCUUUCUAAGGAA